CAAGUGUACACUUUAAAUAUGGAUAAAGUCCAUUAUACACAUGUACAGUGUACUUCGAUUACAUCUCAAUAAAACUGAAAGGGAGGGGAGAAUGAAGAUCUGUAAAUACUGACAUGGAAGAAAGUUCACUAUAUAUUGUGGAAUUAAGAAAGGGCUUGAACAAUGUGAAUGCAAUCUCAUUUUUGGUUCAAAACAUACCCUUCCACACACACAAAAAAAAAAGUCUAAAAAGAUUCACAGCAAAUUUUUUGAGUAGUUUUCCUCUAGGAGAGAAUUGGUAGAGCAAGUAGAAGAAGGUGGGACAAUGUCAUUAUUUUGAGAUUGUGUAUUGGAAAAGGAUUGUUAUUAUGGGCUGGGGCUGGGGCUCAGUGGUAGAACACUUGCCUAGCAUGCUUAAGGCCCUGGGUUCAAACCCUAGCACCACAUUAAAAAAAAUAAAUAAAUAAAUAAAGGUAUUGUGUCCAUCUAUAAUUAAAAAUAUUUUUUAGAAAAAGGAAAAGGAUUGUUUUUUAAAAAAAUGAAUAGUGGAUUGGAAUCAGGCAAUGUGAAUUUUAUUUCCAGUUCUCCCACUAACUUGUAAAUUUAUUUCCUAAAACAAAACGUACUUGUUUAUAGCAACAUCGAAACUAAUACAAUACACCCUCUGUUCACUGAGUCCCUGCUGGCUGAGACCUAGGCAGCAAGCCACCGUCUGCAAGGCCAGAGGGCACAAACAGUCACCUACAGUAGGGGAGCCCUCUGCUGCCCCAGCCCAAGUAGAGCUGGUAAGGCAAUAUGGGCCUCCCUUCAGCCACCGAACUUGCGUUCUGGGGAUUAUUUUAACCCACAAUGUUCUACAAAAUGUGUGCAACUAUUGUUGAAAGACCUGUCAUAAAGACAGGUUAGAGAUGGUUAGAGAUUUUUUUUUAAUUCUGACAUUAAAAAUAGUCAUUCAUUAUGGGGGAAAAGAUACACUCAUACAUUGUUGGUGGGACUGCAAAUUGGUGGAACCACUCUGGACAGCAUUAUGGGGAUUCCUCUGAACACUUGGAAAGGAACCACCAUUCGACACAGUUAUCCCACUCCUUAGCAUAUACCCAAAGGACUUGAAAUCAACAUACUACAGUGACAUGGCCACUUCAAUGUUUAUAGCAACUCAAUUCACAGCUAAGCUAUGGAAUCAACCUAGGUGCCCUCCAACAGAUGAAUGGAUAAUGAAAAUGUGGUGUAUAUACACAGUGGAAUAUUACUCAGCCAUAAAGAAGAAUGAAAUUAUGGCAUUUGCCUGUGAGUGGAUGGAGUUGGAGACUAUCAAGCUAAGUGAAACAAGCCAGUCCCAAAAAAAAACAAAGGCCAAACAUUAUCUCUGAUAUGUGGAUGCUAACACACAAUAAGGAGAUGGGGAGGGUGGAGAACAGAAGUUCAUUGUAUUAGACAAAGGGGAAUGAAGGGAAGGGAGGGGGAAUGGGAAUAGACAGUAGAAUGAAC
Molecule: long non-coding RNA, 1467 nt
Filed under: Marmota monax (woodchuck)
Lineage: Eukaryota; Metazoa; Chordata; Mammalia; Rodentia; Sciuridae
Source: RNAcentral